This 468-nucleotide ribosomal RNA is filed under the name uncultured bacterium. RNAcentral's name for it is "partial 16S ribosomal RNA". It matches the Rfam family "Bacterial small subunit ribosomal RNA", at positions 28 to 507 of the family's 1533-position model. The record is from RNAcentral.
GAUGAACGCUGGCGGCGUGCUUAACACAUGCAAGUCGAACGGAAAGGCCGAAGCUUGCUUCGGUACUCGAGUGGCGAACGGGUGAGUAACACGUGGGUGAUCUGCCCUGUACUUCGGGAUAAGCUUGGGAAACUGGGUCUAAUACCGGAUAUGACGAUCUCUUGGAUGGGGUUGUGGAAAGCUUUUGCGGUAUGGGAUGAGCUCGCGGCCUAUCAGCUUGUUGGUGGGGUAAUGGCCUACCAAGGCGUCGACGGGUAGCCGGCCUGAGAGGGUGUACGGCCACAUUGGGACUGAGAUACGGCCCAGACUCCUACGGGAGGCAGCAAUGGGGAAUAUUGCACAAUGGGCGCAGGCCUGAUGCAGCGACGCCGCGUGGGGGAUGACGGCCUUCGGGUUGUAAACUCCUUUCGCAAUCGACGAAGCCUUUUGGUGACGGUAGGUUGAGAAGAAGCACCGGCUAACUACGUG